This 1042-nucleotide ribosomal RNA is filed under the name Rossellomorea aquimaris. RNAcentral's name for it is "bacterial SSU rRNA". It matches the Rfam family "Bacterial small subunit ribosomal RNA", at positions 62 to 1093 of the family's 1533-position model. The record is from RNAcentral. Lineage: Bacteria; Bacillati; Bacillota; Bacilli; Caryophanales; Bacillaceae.
UCUUUGUUGAUGGGAGCUUGCUCCCAUCAAGCGGCGGACGGGUGAGUAACACGUGGGUAACCUGCCUGUAAGACUGGGAUAACUCCGGGAAACCGGGGCUAAUACCGGAUAACUCAUUUCCUCGCAUGAGGAAAUGUUGAAAGGUGGCUUUUAGCUAUCACUUACAGAUGGACCCGCGGCGCAUAGCUAGUUGGUGAGGUAACGGCCACCAAGGCGACGAUGCGUAGCCGACCUGAGAGGGUGAUCGGCCACACUGGGACUGAGACACGGCCCAGACUCCUACGGGAGCAGCAGUAAAAGGAAUCUUCCGCAAUGGACGAAAGUCUGACGGAGCAACGCCGCGUGAGUGAUGAAGGUUUUCGGAUCUAAAACUCUGUUGUUAGGGAAGAACAAGUACCGUUCGAAUAGGGCGGUACCUUGACGGUACCUAAUCCCCCAGAAAGCCACGGCUAACUACGUGCCAGCAGCCGCGUUUAGUAAUACGUAGGUGGCAAGCGUUGUCCGGAUUAUUGGGCGUAAAGCGCGCGCAGGUGGUUUCUUAAGUCUAUGUGAAAGCCCACGGCUCAACCGUGGAGGGUCAUUGGAAACUGGGGAACUUGAGUGCAGAAGAGGAAAGUGGAAUUCCAAGUGUAGCGGUGAAAUGCGUAGAUAUUUGGAGGAACACCAGUGGCGAAGGCGACUUCUGGUCUGUAACUGACACUGAGGCGCGAAAGCGUGGGGACAAGGAUUAGAUACCCUGGUAGUCACGCCGUAAACGAUGAGUGCUAAGUGUUAGGGGGUUUCCGCCCCUUAGUGCUGCAGCUAACGCAUUAAGCACUCCGCCUGGGGAGUACGGUCGCAAGACUGAAACUCAAAGGAAUUGACGGGGGCCCGCACAAGCGGUGGAGCAUGUGGUUUAAUUCGAAGCAACGCGAAGAACCUUACCAGGUCUUGACAUCCUCUGACAACCCUAGAGAUAGGGCUUUCCCCUUCGGGGGACAGAGUGACAGGUGGUGCAUGGUUGUCGUAGCUCGUGUCGUGAGAUUGACAUCCUCUGACAAAU